RNAcentral lists this ribosomal RNA (464 nucleotides) under uncultured bacterium. Its description in RNAcentral is "partial 16S ribosomal RNA". It matches the Rfam family "Bacterial small subunit ribosomal RNA", at positions 338 to 795 of the family's 1533-position model. The record is from RNAcentral.
CCUACGGGAGGCAGCAGUAGGGAAUUUUCGUCAAUGGGCGCAAGCCUGAACGAGCAAUGCCGCGUGAACGAGGAAGGUCUUCGGAUCGUAAAGUUCUGUUGUAGGGGAACAAGAGCGGUGAGAGGAAAUGCUUUCUGAUUGAUAUUACCCUUCGAGGAAGUCACGGCUAAUUACGUGCCCGCCGCCGAGGUAAUACGUUGGUGGCGUGCGUUUUCCGGAUUUAUUGGGCGAAAAGGGUGCGUAGGCGGCCUGGUAAGUGUGGAGUGAAAGGGACGGGCUAAACCGGUACAAGCUUUGGAGACUGGCGAACUAGAGUGCAGGAGAGGACGGUGGAACUCCAUGUGUAGCGGUGAAAUGCGUAGAUAUAUGGAAGAACACCAGUGGCGAAGGCGGCCGCCUGGCCUGUUACUGACGCUGAGGCACGAAAGCGUGGGGAGCAAAUAGGAUUAGAUACCCGUGUAGUC